Long non-coding RNA from Hippocampus comes (tiger tail seahorse), 486 nucleotides. RefSeq lists it as uncharacterized. The record is from RefSeq and is a predicted model, not a curated record. The transcript has 2 exons. Lineage: Eukaryota; Metazoa; Chordata; Actinopteri; Syngnathiformes; Syngnathidae.
GGGGGCGAGCGGGGGGUUCAAUGUCUCCCUACCCCGCGCCCCGCCAGCCGGGGCGCGGGCGGGAGCGCCCGGGGGCGCCCGCCACCACCCGGCCGGGCGCACUUCCCCCAUCGCGGUGCACCGCGACCGGCUCCGGGUUGGCUUGGAAAGGCUCGGGACGACGGUGGCGCGGGUGGCCCGCGCGGGACCGGGGUUUUCCCCCCGCCUCCGGGCAGGGGGGGGCCCUCCCCACGCGUCAGCCCCCGCGCUUUACAGCGCUCCCCCGCCCUUUCCCGCCCCCUACCUCGCCGCUUCCCCCGGGGUCGUGGGACGUACCGCUGUGCCCUCCGUUCACGGCCGCACCGCCAGGGCGGGGACCGGCCCACGUUCGGACGGGCGCCAGGGGUCCGCGGCGAUGUCGGCAGCCCACCCGACCCGUCUUGAAACACGGACCAAGGAGUCUAACGUGCGCGCGAGUCAGAGGGCCUGACAAAACCCGACCCGGCG